Molecule: small RNA, 296 nt
Filed under: Moniliophthora perniciosa FA553
Lineage: Eukaryota; Fungi; Basidiomycota; Agaricomycetes; Agaricales; Marasmiaceae
Description: 5' ureB small RNA
Rfam family: 5' ureB small RNA
Source: Rfam by way of RNAcentral
CUUCCUCAAUCAACUGAGGGCAAAUAAAGUGUACAUGGGCAUCAAUACCACCCGCGGUGACGAUCAUACCUCCAGCCGAGAUGACGUCUGUCGAAUUUCCUAUGAUAAGGUCGGGGUGGACACCCUGUUGGGUAUCAGGGUUUCCCAGCUUUGCCAAUAGCAUGGAUAAGACCGUCUUUGAUACCAAUAUCGGCUUUGUAGAUUCCUGACCAGUCGAUGAUGAGUGCAUUGACGAUGACAACAUCCAAAGCUUCGGCAGAGGAGCGGUUGGUAGCUUGACCCAUGCCUUCGCGGAU